GACGAACGCUGGCGGCGUGCUUAACACAUGCAAGUCGAACGGUGAAGCGCCUUCCUUUUUGGUGGGUGUGGAUGAGUGGCGAACGGGUGAGUAACACGUGAGUAACCUGCCCCCUUCUUCUGGAUAACCGCAUGAAAGUGUGGCUAAAACGGGAUAUUCUGGGUCUGUCGCAUGAUGGGUCUGGGAAAGAUAUUGUUUCGGUGGGGGAUGGGCUCGCGGCCUAUCAGCUUGUUGGUGGGGUGAUGGCCUACCAAGGCGGUGACGGGUAGCCGGCCUGAGAGGGUGGACGGUCACACUGGGACUGAGACACGGCCCAGACUCCUACGGGAGGCAGCAGUGGGGAAUAUUGCACAAUGGGCGCAAGCCUGAUGCAGCGACGCCGCGUGAGGGAUGGAGGCCUUCGGGUUGUGAACCUCUUUCGCCAGUGAAGCAGGCCUGCCUCGUUUGUGGGUGGGUUGACGGUAGCUGGAUAAGAAGCGCCGGCUAACUACGUG
Molecule: ribosomal RNA, 494 nt
Filed under: uncultured bacterium
Lineage: Bacteria
Description: partial 16S ribosomal RNA
Rfam family: Bacterial small subunit ribosomal RNA
Source: RNAcentral